CUCCUACGGGAGGCAGCAGUGGGGAAUAUUGCACAAUGGGCGCAAGCCUGAUGCAGCGACGCCGCGUGAGGGAUGACGGCCUUCGGGUUGUAAACCUCUUUCAGUAGGGACGAAGCGCAAGUGACGGUACCUACAGAAGAAGGACCGGCCAACUACGUGCCAGCAGCCGCGGUAAUACGUAGGGUCCGAGCGUUGUCCGGAAUUACUGGGCGUAAAGAGCUCGUAGGUGGUUUGUCGCGUUGUUCGUGAAAACUCACAGCUUAACUGUGGGCGUGCGGGCGAUACGGGCAGACUGGAGUACUGCAGGGGAGACUGGAAUUCCUGGUGUAGCGGUGGAAUGCGCAGAUAUCAGGAGGAACACCGGUGGCGAAGGCGGGUCUCUGGGCAGUAACUGACGCUGAGGAGCGAAAGCGUGGGGAGCGAACAGGAUUAGAUACCCUGGUAGUCCACGCCGUAAACGGUGGGUACUAGGUGUGGGUUUCCUUCCUUGGGAUCCGUGCCGUAGCUAACGCAUUAAGUACCCCGCCUGGGGAGUACGGCCGCAAGGCUAAAACUCAAAGAAAUUGACGGGGGCCCGCACAAGCGGCGGAGCAUGUGGAUUAAUUCGAUGCAACGCGAAGAACCUUACCUGGGUUUGACAUGCACAGGACGUGCCUAGAGAUAGGUAUUCCCUUGUGGUCUGUGUGCAGGUGGUGCAUGGCUGUCGUCAGCUCGUGUCGUGAGAUGUUGG
Molecule: ribosomal RNA, 730 nt
Filed under: uncultured bacterium
Lineage: Bacteria
Description: bacterial SSU rRNA
Rfam family: Bacterial small subunit ribosomal RNA
Source: RNAcentral